This 678-nucleotide ribosomal RNA is filed under the name uncultured Bacteroidota bacterium. RNAcentral describes it as "bacterial SSU rRNA". It matches the Rfam family "Bacterial small subunit ribosomal RNA", at positions 1 to 672 of the family's 1533-position model. Lineage: Bacteria; Pseudomonadati; Bacteroidota. The record is from RNAcentral.
GAAUUCGCCCUUAGAGUUUGAUCAUGGCUCAGGACGAACGCUGGCGGCAGGCCUAACACAUGCAAGUCGCACGAGAACGCUCCUUCGGGAGCUAGUAAAGUGGCGGACGGGUGAGUAACGCGUAGAUAACCUGCCCUUAAGAGAGGAAUAACUACUGGAAACGGUAGCUAAUGCCACAUAAUAUCAGUCUUUCGCAUGAUCGACUGAUCAAAGCCUUCGAGCGCUUAGGGAUGGAUCUGCGUCGGAUUAGCUUGUUGGUGAGGUAAAAGCUCACCAAGGCAGUAAUCCGUAGCUGGUCUGAGAGGAUGAUCAGCCACACUGGCACUGAGACACGGGCCAGACUCCUACGGGAGGCAGCAGUGGGGAAUCUUAGGCAAUGGGGGAAACCCUGACCUAGCCAUGCCGCGUGGAGGAAGACACCCCUAUGGGGCGUAAACUCCUUUUCUACUGGAAGAAAACCCUGUUUUUCAGGGCGUGACGGUACAGUAGGAAUAAGCACCGGCUAGCUCCGUGCCAGCAGCCGCGGUAAUACGGAGGGUGCAAGCGUUGUCCGGAAUCACUGGGUGUAAAGGGUGUGCAGGCGGGACAGCAAGUCAGAAGUGAAAGCCCACGGCUUAACCGUGGAAGUGCUUUUGAAACUGCUGUUCUUGAGUCUCGGAGAAGUUGCUGGAAUUCGUG